GGGCCCGCACAAGCGGUGGAGCAUGUGGUUUAAUUCGAUGCAACGCGAAGAACCUUACCUACUCUUGACAUCCUGCGAAUUUUGGUAGAGAUACCUUAGUGCCUUCGGGAACGCAGAGACAGGUGCUGCAUGGCUGUCGUCAGCUCGUGUUGUGAAAUGUUGGGUUAAGUCCCGUAACGAGCGCAACCCUUGUCCUUAUUUGCCAGCGCGUAAUGGCGGGAACUCUAAGGAGACUGCCGGUGACAAACCGGAGGAAGGUGGGGACGACGUCAAGUCAUCAUGGCCCUUACGAGUAGGGCUACACACGUGCUACAAUGGUCGGUACAAAGGGUUGCCAACUCGCGAGAGUGAGCU
This 354-nucleotide ribosomal RNA is filed under the name uncultured bacterium. Its description in RNAcentral is "bacterial SSU rRNA". It matches the Rfam family "Bacterial small subunit ribosomal RNA", at positions 917 to 1269 of the family's 1533-position model. The record is from RNAcentral.